Molecule: ribosomal RNA, 207 nt
Filed under: uncultured bacterium
Lineage: Bacteria
Description: partial 16S ribosomal RNA
Rfam family: Bacterial small subunit ribosomal RNA
Source: RNAcentral
CGCGUAGGCGGCCAUGUAAGUCAGAUGUGAAAGCCCGGGGCUCAACCCCGGAAGUGCAUUUGAUACUGUAUGGCUUGAGUAUGGGAGAGGGAAGUGGAAUUCCUGGUGUAGAGGUGAAAUUCGUAGAUAUCAGGAGGAACACCGGUGGCGAAGGCGACUUCCUGGACCAAUACUGACGCUGAGGCGCGAAGGCGUGGGUAGCAAACA